UUACCAUUUUAUAUGUCAUUACAAAGUUUAAACACUUCGUUAUUUUCUCAAGUAAAAGAGAUCUACGAUGCAUGACCAAUUGUAAAUAUGAAACUAGAUUGUACGGUAUAGAUUAAAGUGUAGCUGGCAUGUGUAUAAGUCGCAUCAUUUCGUAAAAACAUCCGUGAUUGACAAAUAAAGAUGGAAUUUACCGGCUGAAAAACAGUGUUUGAUCUACAAGAAGAAGAAAGACUUUUAGUCAACCCUUAACAAAGUUCUGAAAUAUCUGUGAAAGUUAAAUGCUCAACAAUGUGGAAGGUGCCUUGUUUGAUAGUCUCCCUUGUUAUAUUUCAAGUUCAAGCACUGGAAUUAUGCCAGACUCAACUUGGAUAUGAAUAUUUCAUUCAGAAUAUCAUGGAAAAUACGCGACCAAAAACUGUAAUUGGUCACGUGGUCAUCGAGGGUGACGUUACACAGAUAGAAAUAGUCCAGGCUGAGCAUAGCUAUUAUUCGUUCAAUAAUUUAACCCGAAAUGUGACAUUAGAAAACGAACUGAACACUGAUCAAAACGCGGAAGAAAUACCACCUCUUAUCCUUAAUUGUAGAAAAGUUGGAACAUCUCAGCAGGAAUCAGGC
Molecule: long non-coding RNA, 615 nt
Organism: Ruditapes philippinarum (Manila clam)
Lineage: Eukaryota; Metazoa; Mollusca; Bivalvia; Venerida; Veneridae
Exons: 5
Source: RefSeq, a predicted model, not a curated record